RNAcentral lists this small nuclear RNA (196 nucleotides) under Helianthus annuus (common sunflower). Its description in RNAcentral is "sRNA HanXRQr2_Chr03g0119241". It matches the Rfam family "U2 spliceosomal RNA". From Rfam's summary of the family: U2 is a small nuclear RNA (snRNA) component of the spliceosome (involved in pre-mRNA splicing). Lineage: Eukaryota; Viridiplantae; Streptophyta; Magnoliopsida; Asterales; Asteraceae. The record is from Rfam by way of RNAcentral.
AUACCUUUCUCGGCCUUUUGGCUAAGAUCAAGUGUAGUAUCUGUUCUUAUCAGUUUAAUAUCUGAUAUGUGGGCCAUCGGCCCACUCGAUAUUAAUCUUAUUUUUUAUGGGGAAAGACCCAUCACAAUAGCUUGCUAUUGGGGUCUUUAAGCGUCGCCUUGGCGUUGCACUACUGCCUUGGCUUGGCGCACCCCUC